GGUACGGGAUCCGAUCUACCGGCGGCGAUGGGGAGCUUCCUCCCGCGUCCGUUCCACGGUGGUCCAUGGCUCGACCCGUCGUGCUCGCGCCGCCCACCGACCGCCGCGCCACCGCCAGGUUCGGCGACCGCUGCUGCCAUAACCGGGUAAACAAGCUCGGCGGCCGCCUCCCACGCCGCCGGGCGAGCGCUUCGCUCGUCGACGUGGGUGAAUUCUGAGGUGUUUAGCAUCAGAGAUUUGGGACUUUACACAGUGUGAAAUUCUGAAGUGUUUAGGUCACAGAUUUAGGUCUUCAGGUGGUGCAAAUUACACUCAUAUCUUUCUAUAUAAUAAGAUAGUGGCAGGAAAUGCCGUUUUAUUGCUGCAACUUUCGUUGCAAACAUCGGAGA
This is a long non-coding RNA of Oryza brachyantha (malo sina), 389 nucleotides long. RefSeq lists it as uncharacterized. The transcript is spliced from 2 exons. The record is from RefSeq and is a predicted model, not a curated record. NCBI's taxonomy places the organism in Eukaryota, Viridiplantae, Streptophyta, Magnoliopsida, Poales, Poaceae.